This 253-nucleotide ribosomal RNA is filed under the name uncultured bacterium. RNAcentral's name for it is "partial 16S ribosomal RNA". It matches the Rfam family "Bacterial small subunit ribosomal RNA", at positions 524 to 776 of the family's 1533-position model. RNAcentral also lists the same sequence under 1 other name. The record is from RNAcentral.
UACGAAGGGGGCUAGCGUUGUUCGGAAUUACUGGGCGUAAAGCGCACGUAGGCGGAUUGUUAAGUGAGGGGUGAAAUCCCAGGGCUCAACCCUGGAACUGCCUCUCAUACUGGCAAUCUCGAGUUCGAGAGAGGUGAGUGGAAUUGCGAGUGUAGAGGUGAAAUUCGUAGAUAUUCGCAGGAACACCAGUGGCGAAGGCGGCUCACUGGCUCGAUACUGACGCUGAGGUGCGAAAGCGUGGGGAGCAAACAGG